UCGAGCGGCAGGGCAGCAAUGCCCCUAGAGCGGCGGACUGGUGAGUAACGCGUGGGUGAUCUACCUUGGGCAUGGGAUAGCCAUUAGAAAUAGUGGGUAAUACCGAAUACGUUCGUUACCGUGAGGGUAACGAGGAAAGGCGCUACGGCGCCGGCCUGGAGAUGAGCUUGCGUCUGAUUAGCUAGUUGGUGAGGUAAUGGCUCACCAAGGCGAUGAUCGGUAGCCGGCCUGAGAGGGUGUACGGCCACACUGGGACUGAGAUACGGCCCAGACUCCUACGGGAGGCAGCAGCUAAGAAUAUUCCGCAAUGGACGAAAGUCUGACGGAGCGACGCCGCGUGGAUGAUGAAGGCCGAAAGGUUGUAAAGUCCUUUUGCUGGGGAAGAAUAAGCGUGGGAGGGAAUGCCCGCGUGAUGACAUGAACCGGCGAAUAAGCCCCGGCUAACUACGUGCCAGCAGCCGCGGUAACACGUAGGGGGCGAGCGUUGUUCGGAAUUACUGGGCGUAAAGGGCAUGUAGGCGGCUUUGUAAGC
Molecule: ribosomal RNA, 532 nt
Filed under: uncultured bacterium
Lineage: Bacteria
Description: bacterial SSU rRNA
Rfam family: Bacterial small subunit ribosomal RNA
Source: RNAcentral